This 294-nucleotide ribosomal RNA is filed under the name uncultured bacterium. RNAcentral describes it as "partial 16S ribosomal RNA". It matches the Rfam family "Bacterial small subunit ribosomal RNA", at positions 775 to 1067 of the family's 1533-position model. The record is from RNAcentral.
GGAUUAGAUACCCUGGUAGUCCACGCCCUAAACGAUGUGUGCUAGACGUCGGGAGGCUUGCCUCUCGGUGUCGUAGCUAACGUGUUAAGCACACCGCCUGGGGAGUACGGCCGCAAGGUUAAAACUCAAAGGAAUUGACGGGGGCCCGCACAAGCGGUGGAGCAUGUGGUUUAAUUCGACGCAACGCGCAGAACCUUACCAGCCCUUGACAUGAUGGUUACGAUUUCCAGAGAUGGAUCUCUCAGUUCGGCUGGACCAUCACAGGUGCUGCAUGGCUGUCGUCAGCUCGUGCCG